This 1157-nucleotide ribosomal RNA is filed under the name Kaistella anthropi. Its description in RNAcentral is "bacterial SSU rRNA". It matches the Rfam family "Bacterial small subunit ribosomal RNA", at positions 60 to 1226 of the family's 1533-position model. The record is from RNAcentral. Lineage: Bacteria; Pseudomonadati; Bacteroidota; Flavobacteriia; Flavobacteriales; Weeksellaceae.
AGCCGAGCGGUAUUUCUUCUUCGGAAGAGAGAGAGCGGCGUACGGGUGCGUAACACGUGUGCAACCUACCUUUAUCUGGGGGAUAGCCUUUCGAAAGGAAGAUUAAUACCCCAUAAUAUAAUUGAUGGCAUCAUUGAUUAUUGAAAACUCCGGUGGAUAGAGAUGGGCACGCGCAAGAUUAGAUAGUUGGUGAGGUAACGGCUCACCAAGUCUGUGAUCUUUAGGGGUCCUGAGAGGGAGAUCCCCCACACUGGUACUGAGACACGGACCAGACUCCUACGGGAGGCAGCAGUGAGGAAUAUUGGACAAUGGGUGAAAGCCUGAUCCAGCCAUCCCGCGUGAAGGAUGACGGUCCUAUGGAUUGUAAACUUCUUUUGUACAGGGAUAAACCUACUCUCGUGAGGGUAGCUGAAGGUACUGUACGAAUAAGCACCGGCUAACUCCGUGCCAGCAGCCGCGGUAAUACGGAGGGUGCAAGCGUUAUCCGGAUUUAUUGGGUUUAAAGGGUCCGUAGGCGGACCUGUAAGUCAGUGGUGAAAUCUCAUAGCUUAACUAUGAAACUGCCAUUGAUACUGCGGGUCUUGAGUAAAUUUGAAGUGGCUGGAAUAAGUAGUGUAGCGGUGAAAUGCAUAGAUAUUACUUAGAACACCAAUUGCGAAGGCAGGUCACUAAGAUUUAACUGACGCUGAUGGACGAAAGCGUGGGUAGCGAACAGGAUUAGAUACCCUGGUAGUCCACGCCGUAAACGAUGCUAACUCGUUUUUGGAUUUUCGGAUUCAGAGACCAAGCGAAAGUGAUAAGUUAGCCACCUGGGGAGUACGUCCGCAAGGAUGAAACUCAAAGGAAUUGACGGGGGCCCGCACAAGCGGUGGAUUAUGUGGUUUAAUUCGAUGAUACGCGAGGAACCUUACCAAGACUUAAAUGGGAAUUGACAGGUUUAGAAAUAGACCCUUCUUCGGACAAUUUUCAAGGUGCUGCAUGGUUGUCGUCAGCUCGUGCCCUGAGGUGUUAGGUUAAGUCCUGCAACGAGCGCAACCCCUGUCACUAGUUGCUAACAUUUAGUUGAGGACUCUAGUGAGACUGCCUACGCAAGUAGAGAGGAAGGUGGGGAUGACGUCAAAUCAUCACGGCCCUUACGUCUUGGGCCACCACGUAAU